RNAcentral lists this ribosomal RNA (397 nucleotides) under uncultured bacterium. RNAcentral describes it as "partial 16S ribosomal RNA". It matches the Rfam family "Bacterial small subunit ribosomal RNA", at positions 523 to 918 of the family's 1533-position model. The record is from RNAcentral.
AUACGUAGGGGGCGAGCGUUGUCCGGAAUGACUGGGCGUAAAGGGCGUGUAGGCGGCGCUGUAGGUCUGGAGUGAAAGUCCCGUUUUCAAGGCGGGAACUGCUUUGGAUACUGCAGAGCUUGAGUGCGGAAGAGGUAAGUGGAAUUCCCAGUGUAGCGGUGAAAUGCGUAGAGAUUGGGAGGAACACCAGUGGCGAAGGCGACUUACUGGGCCGUAACUGACGCUGAGGCGCGAAAGCGUGGGGAGCGAACAGGAUUAGAUACCCUGGUAGUCCACGCGGUAAACGAUGAAUGCUAGGUGUUGCGGGUAUCGACCCCUGCAGUGCCGGAGUAAACACAAUAAGCAUUCCGCCUGGGGAGUACGGCCGCAAGGUUGAAACUCAAAGGAAUUGACGGGG